This 293-nucleotide ribosomal RNA is filed under the name uncultured bacterium. Its description in RNAcentral is "partial 16S ribosomal RNA". It matches the Rfam family "Bacterial small subunit ribosomal RNA", at positions 505 to 796 of the family's 1533-position model. The record is from RNAcentral.
GUGCCAGCCGCCGCGGUAACACGUAGGGACCAAGCGUUGUCCGGAUUCAUUGGGCGUAAAGAGCUCGUAGGCGGCUCAGUAAGUCGGGUGUGAAACCUCCAGGCUCAACCUGGAGACGCCACCCGAUACUGCUGUGGCUAGAGUCCAGUAGGGGAGCGUGGAAUUCCUGGUGUAGCGGUGAAAUGCGCAGAUAUCAGGAGGAACACCAGCGGCGAAGGCGGCGCUCUGGGCUGGAACUGACGCUGAGGAGCGAAAGCGUGGGGAGCGAACAGGAUUAGAUACCCCCGUAGUCC